RNAcentral lists this ribosomal RNA (744 nucleotides) under Mycoplasmoides gallisepticum. RNAcentral describes it as "bacterial SSU rRNA". It matches the Rfam family "Bacterial small subunit ribosomal RNA", at positions 344 to 1084 of the family's 1533-position model. Lineage: Bacteria; Bacillati; Mycoplasmatota; Mycoplasmoidales; Mycoplasmoidaceae. The record is from RNAcentral.
GGAGGCAGCAGUAGGGAAUUUUUCACAAUGGACGAAAGUCUGAUGGAGCAAUGCCGCGUGAACGAUGAAGGUCUUUUUAGAUUGUAAAGUUCUUUUAUUUGGGAAGAACAGUUAAUAGAGUGGAAAGCUAUUAAUUUGACUGUACCAUUUGAAUAAGUAACGACUAACUAUGUGCCAGCAGUCGCGGUAAUACAUAGGUUGCAAGCGUUAUCCGGAUUUAUUGGGCGUAAAACAAGCGCAGGCGGAUUAGAAAGUCUGGUGUUAAAAGCAAUUGCUUAACNAUUGUAUGCAUUGGAAACUUCUAGUCUAGAGUUUGGUAGAGAGUCCUGGAACUCCAUGUGGAGCGGUGAAAUGCGUAGAUAUAUGGAAGAACACCAGAGGCGAAGGCGAGGACUUGGGCCAAUACUGACGCUUAGGCUUGAAAGUGUGGGGAGCAAAUAGGAUUAGAUACCCUAGUAGUCCACACUGUAAACGAUGGAUGUUAAGUGUCGGAGCGAAUACUUCGGUGCUGCAGUUAACACAUUAAACAUCCUGCCUGAGUAGUACAUUCGCAAGAAUGAAACUCAAACGGAAUUGACGGGGACCCGCACAAGUGGUGGAGCAUGUUGCUUAAUUCGACGGUACACGAAAAACCUUACCUAGACUUGACAUCUUGGGCGAAGCUAUAGAAAUAUAGUGGAGGUCAACCCAAUGACAGGUGGUGCAUGGUUGUCGUCAGCUCGUGUCGUGAGAUGUUGGGUUAAG